This 2040-nucleotide ribosomal RNA is filed under the name Triticum aestivum (bread wheat). RNAcentral describes it as "partial small subunit ribosomal RNA". Lineage: Eukaryota; Viridiplantae; Streptophyta; Magnoliopsida; Poales; Poaceae. The record is from RNAcentral.
GAACAGGGUACAGAGACGCCGUAGGAGUAGGAGGAUAAUUAGUACAAGAAGAGGGCGCGCUUCCGUGUCGGCACGGCUUCGUGACUAAGGUUAGUCCUAGCCGAGUCCCCGUUGAUGUGGUAUCGGCCGCAGCCGAGGCUUAAGAUAGACUAGCUAUUUUUUAGGUCUCCGAAGCCGUUGGAGAGGCUGAGGCUGCCCUUGUUGUGGGUCCACAACAGGUAGCAGCUAGUCAGCUAUGCUGAGACCGUUGAAGCUGGGCUGCCGCCGCUGCCCGACCUCCAGCUACCCCGCAGGAAGUCGCGGUGGCACCGUAUAGUCGGCGACAGGUCGGCCCUAUCGGAGCGGAAGGAGUAGGAGGGCAGCUACGAUUUGUGGAGGAACGACUACUACCUUGACUACCGGUCUCUACUACCGGGCGAGCAGGAGUGGCCUCGGCCAUCAGGUCUCCGAUGUAGAGCCUCGCGGCGUCAGAGGCCGUCGUGGCAGAGAUAGUCCUAACCGCACGACAGCUUAGAGAGCUAGUGCCUCGUGAUGAUACUACUGUAGUACCAACAGCUAUAGUGAUAGCUAGCCCAUCGUUUGUUUAUGUGGCACACCUAGCUGAUGCUGUCACGCCCCGCGUCGGACAGCCAGAUGCGCCUGCAGGUUCGGUUAGGGUUCGGACUGUUGUAGUAUCGACUCGAGGAGGGAAUGGGGAUGUAGCUGUAGCCACCUCCGGACAGUUCCUUCCACUGGUAGGACAGGAGGCAGGAGCCUAGGCAUCGAUGGUGGCGUCACUACCGGCAGCCGGACCGCACGAUGAAGUUGAGCUCCAUGGCCGCCACCGUGUUCCUGGACCUGGUUGAGCGCUCUAGGUACCUCGCGGAGGGGCCCCACGGGUGGUUCCACCUUAAACGACUGUAGUUCUUCCGGUGGCCAUUGAAGGUGCUUCGGUACUUCGAGCCCCCUCCACCCAAGCCGUGGCACAUGUCCACGUGCGAGUGCCGGAGGCGAAGUUUCUGCCUCGCUGGCUACCUACAGCGCCAGUUCUCCAAGUGCGCGCUACACGUCUUGGCGACGAUGCUGCUGAAAGAACGGCUCCAGUCGUAGUAGUUGGCCGAUGCGGUGUUCUUGUAGCAGGGGAAACAGCCCACCAGAAUAUUGUUUCCUCUCGGUGAUGAACACAAGCUCAAGUACUGGUUGCCGUCGAACCUAGUUGUAGAGAAGGGGUUUCACUCGUUACCGUGGCCCGAUGUUGUCCGCGUUGCGUGACCGUGCCGGUAAGCCGUUACCCGGUGGGCGAUGCCUUAGCAGUCCCUGUAACGAUGGCCGGAAGUGAUGCAGGUGGUGCUCAUGCUCGGCUACCACGAGGUGGCACUGUAGUUCCGCUCGUUGCACUACGAUCUGAGAUCGAUAGCCCGUGCGGAGCCACUGAAACCGGACCGGACGUGGCACCUACACCCAGCCUUGAGGCGGUGGCCGCAACCACCGUGCACCCCGAUGUAACGCGGCCUCAUGCGGUACACGCCGUUCCGCUGCGCCGUCUGGCUGUAUAUGCGAGAGCCCCAUGAGUAGGAACUCCAGCAGUGGCCGGUCGCCCGCGACUAAGCUGUCUGCCACCUACUUCCGCUGCGGGUUUAGUGUCUAUCUCACACCGCGGAGGUGGCACUCUCCUCCGAUUACCUCACGCAGCUACGGCACGACUAGCGUCCAAGAAGAGGCCUACUCCUGGGCGUCGUACGACCUCCACUACAGCUUGCAGACGAAGAAGACCCGAACCGCACGUCGUCGGGUUUGGGCAGUCUGGCAGGCUCGUACGGGCUCCACCACGUCCAGUAGCGGUUCAGUCGUGGCGGCGGCCUCCACGGCGAGUACUUUGGUUAUAAGUACACCGGCGGCGGCCUUCCCCGUCGGACCCCGCGACUACUAUCGUGCCCGUGUACCUACUACUUAUUAGAGCUGCCCUCAUAGUGCUCGUGGCUCGCAGUCAGCGUCAGCGAGUGUCGCCACAGCGUGUCCGCCCGAUGGCCUCCUGUACGGAGCAAAGUUGACCUCGGUACU